RNAcentral lists this ribosomal RNA (240 nucleotides) under uncultured bacterium. RNAcentral describes it as "partial 16S ribosomal RNA". It matches the Rfam family "Bacterial small subunit ribosomal RNA", at positions 100 to 334 of the family's 1533-position model. The record is from RNAcentral.
CCGGCACGGGUGGAGUAACACGUAUCCAACCCGCCGUCUACUCUUGGACAGCCUUCUGAAAGGAAGGAAUUAAAACAAGAUGGCAUCAUGAGUUCACAUGUUCACAUGAUUAAAGGUAUUCCGGUAGACGAUGGGGAUGCGUUCCAUUAGAUAGUAGGCGGGGUAACGGCCCACCUAGUCUUCGAUGGAUAGGGGUUCUGAGAGGAAGGUCCCCCACAUUGGAACUGAGACACGGUCCAA